This 575-nucleotide ribosomal RNA is filed under the name Colletotrichum sp. 146GM/T. Its description in RNAcentral is "eukaryotic LSU rRNA". The stretch from base 204 to 357 matches the Rfam family "5.8S ribosomal RNA". Lineage: Eukaryota; Fungi; Ascomycota; Sordariomycetes; Glomerellales; Glomerellaceae. The record is from RNAcentral.
UCCGUAGGGUGAACCUGCGGAGGGAUCAUUACUGAGUUUACGCUCUACAACCCUUUGUGAACAUACCUAUAACUGUUGCUUCGGCGGGUAGGGUCUCCGCGACCCUCCCGGCCUCCCGCCUCCGGGCGGGUCGGCGCCCGCCGGAGGAUAACCAAACUCUGAUUUAACGACGUUUCUUCUGAGUGGUACAAGCAAAUAAUCAAAACUUUUAACAACGGAUCUCUUGGUUCUGGCAUCGAUGAAGAACGCAGCGAAAUGCGAUAAGUAAUGUGAAUUGCAGAAUUCAGUGAAUCAUCGAAUCUUUGAACGCACAUUGCGCCCGCCAGCAUUCUGGCGGGCAUGCCUGUUCGAGCGUCAUUUCAACCCUCAAGCUCUGCUUGGUGUUGGGGCCCUACAGCUGAUGUAGGCCCUCAAAGGUAGUGGCGGACCCUCCCGGAGCCUCCUUUGCGUAGUAACUUUACGUCUCGCACUGGGAUCCGGAGGGACUCUUGCCGUAAAACCCCCAAUUUUCCAAAGGUUGACCUCGGAUCAGGUAGGAAUACCCGCUGAACUUAAGCAUAUCAAUAAGCGGAGGA